Molecule: long non-coding RNA, 133 nt
Organism: Sander lucioperca (pikeperch)
Lineage: Eukaryota; Metazoa; Chordata; Actinopteri; Perciformes; Percidae
Exons: 2
Source: RefSeq, a predicted model, not a curated record
UAAAACACAUUUGUCAAAUUUAAGGCCCGGGGGCCAAAGCCGGCCCCUUGCAGAAUUUGAUCAGGCCUGCAUAUCAAUUUAGAUUCACAAUAAAUUUCGGCCCACCUAGUAUUUGUCGCUUUUUCUGAAGAUU